AUCAUCAGCUGGAACCCGAUGUUGAGCAUGCCACGGAGACGCGCAGGCGCCAUCUCCGACAGGUACACAGGAACAGACUGCGCCAUUAUACAGUACAUGCAUGCGUACACGUUAGAGAUCAAUUUUCAUUCAUUCAUUCAUUCAUUUAUUAUUACUGGUACUAGCUACUGUACGUAGUUGCCAACCAAUAUCGAUCAUUAGCAUGCAAAAUCUGAACAUCAUAUAAAAUUGAUGCCAAUUGCGAUCAUUCAAGAACACAAAGUUAGGCAUUGCCCUGCAGUUCAGUACUACGUACACUAUUACUCGUCCUGCAUGCAUGCAUAUUCCAUAUGCCGACAUGUUGGACAGGCAAGCAAGCAAGUCAAACAUGUGACGCCACUAUCUAGGCCCGUUGAUUCAUUGACCAUGACCUGAACUCGCAUGUUUAAAGAUAUACUGUAUAUGAUUUUGCAGAAACGUUGCUUCUGUAGAUCCAGUUGUACUGUAUUUUUUCAGUUAAUAUAAAUUAAAGGUUUAAGUAUACUUUUGGGCUACUUUGCGCUUAGAUACAGUUAAUAAUGGUUUUACAGCUAGUUUAAUUUCUAAUUAAUAAGCUGGUUACUGUCUCAUUGUCUGCCCAUCUCUGUUCAUGCAUGUUUCUAGAUGCAAUAAAAUAUCUAUCUUUUCUGUAUACCUAUAUAUAGCAUAUAUAUGUACAUGCACUGAAAAUGACAGUCCAAGCCAAGUCUUUGAAGGAUUCGAUCAGGAUAAAGAAAGCAAUGCCUGCCUGCCUGUGGAAGAAUUCCUUGCAACUUGCAUUGUGUCCAUAUUACUGAUAAUCGAUAAUCAAUCACUUUAACAAACUUUGAUUAGUUUGACGACCGAAAUUCCCAGUAAUAAUGGUUCUAUGAUAGGGGAGGCAGCAGAUAGAAUCUCCCAUCCCACAUGCAGGAUGUUAUGGUCCACCAAAAGUCUGCGUGGUUGAAAUUUGAAGCUGGGAAAUCCCAGGUCCAAAAUUGGCCAAGAUUCAGGAUAUUUUUCACGGCAUCUUUGCAUCGUUUGCGUGGACAGUGAAGUCACAAUCACAGUGCUGUCUGAUGUUAUUUUUUAAAAGCAAAAGGGCAUGGACUGUGCCAUUCAGUUGUUGAGAAGAAAUGAUCAGCAAAGCUAAGGUCAAAUUGAAGGUAGCCAGCAGUAGCUGUGGUUGCAAAUUCAAAUACACUAGUGGUAGGUGGAUGUGUGUUUUUUUAAAUAUAUAUAUUUAUUAUCUGUUGUUAUCCCUCUCCAGGGCUUAACUAGUCUGGUCUGAUCUUAUCUUGUAAUCCAUCCAUAUAUAGGGUCACAUGAAACCAUGGGUUUGAAUGAUCUUUGGAAGGAAAAAGAAGUUUGCUUUUGUUUGAGAGAAAUUAAGUCUUGCACGUGAACCUUGGCGAUGUCGACCGACCUUAGCUUACUGUCACAGCUAGCUAGCCAGCUAACGACGACCAUGGAGUGUAUAUACAGUUAAUGGAUACAACUAUAUACAGUAUAGUGACUAUAGUCUAUGUAACAGCUAUAUCGUUGCUGCCAAUGACAUGAACAUAAUAGUGUCGUUGAAAAUACAAUUAACACUUAGUUAUAUAUAGCUAGCGGCUCUGGUAUAUAUAUAUAUAUAUAUAUAUAUAUAUAUAUACUUGAGAGAUAUAUAUGAUAAACAAAUUAAAUUGUUGGCAACAGGUUGCAAGCAUAGUAAAGGGGUCAAGCUCAGCAACUAGCCGAGCUGAGAGCGAGGCCAAGGAGGAGGACAAUCAACAAGCAAAGGUAGCAAGAGCCAAGAAACCGGCGGCAAGCUAGCAUAGUGACGAUGUGAACAAGCUAGGUGGCAGAUAAACAUACAGAAGAGUCAACUUGCAUCAUUGCAUGGUAUACAAGUAAAAACAUCUUCAAUUUGUCUCUCUCUCUCUCUCUCUCUCAAGGAAAUUAAAAAGAAGAAGAGAAGAAAAGUAAACAUCCAUCUUUGAAUUGUGUUGGUACCUAGCUUGGACUUUGGGAAGCAUGCAUGCAUAUGCUUCCAGCGGUGUAUGAGGACAAUGGAGAUAAACUAUUAUAUACACAUGAACCUUGAUUGUUGUCAAAUAAACUAGCUUACUAGCUUGGACUUUGCACAUGCACGUUAUGUAGUAUGUAUAUAUGUAUAUAUACAACUUGCUAUAUUAUUAUAAUUAUUUAUUUGUUGAACUACUAGUACUGUUAGUAUACAUGCAUAUACAUAUAUAUAUAUAUAUAUAUAUGUGUAUAGUUUUCGUUGGUUAACUGGCACCUAAUGAAGAGAAUCUCAUGUCGAUCAUCUUUUCAAAACUCAAGCAACCCUUCUUGGACAGCUAUGUAUAUAUGUCCUUAUCAUGUACGCAAGAUCAUUGACGAAUCGCUACGGCCUCGCUAGCUCUUACGUAGCUGUCACUACCGCUAGUCACGACACGGUAGAAUGAAGAGAUUAUUUAUGGUGUAACAUUGUUAAUUAUCAUAUACUUAUGCAUAUACUCUUGUAUAUAAAUUA
RNAcentral lists this long non-coding RNA (2515 nucleotides) under Sorghum bicolor (sorghum). RNAcentral describes it as "long non-coding RNA (SBIC_LNC001849)". Lineage: Eukaryota; Viridiplantae; Streptophyta; Magnoliopsida; Poales; Poaceae. The record is from RNAcentral.